GACGAACGCUGGCGGCGUGCUUAACACAUGCAAGUCGAACGGUGAAGGGGUCUGCUUUUGUGGGCCCUGGAUGAGUGGCGAACGGGUGAGUAACACGUGAGUAACCUGCCCCCUUCUUCUGGAUAACCGCAUGAAAGUGUGGCUAAUACGGGAUAUUCUGGGUCUGUCGCAUGAUGGGUCUGGGAAAGAUUGCGCCUUUGGGUGUUUUUGGUGGGGGAUGGGCUCGCGGCCUAUCAGCUUGUUGGUGGGGUGAUGGCCUACCAAGGCGGUGACGGGUAGCCGGCCUGAGAGGGUGGACGGUCACACGGGGACUGAGACACGGCCCAGACUCCUACGGGAGGCAGCAGUGGGGAAUAUUGCACAAUGGGCGCAAGCCUGAUGCAGCGACGCCGCGUGAGGGAGGGAGGCCUUCGGGUUGUAAACCUCUUUCGCCAGUGAAGCAGGCCUGCUCCGUGUGGGUGGGUUGACGGUAGCUGGAUAAGAAGCGCCGGCUAACUACGUG
RNAcentral lists this ribosomal RNA (502 nucleotides) under uncultured bacterium. RNAcentral's name for it is "partial 16S ribosomal RNA". It matches the Rfam family "Bacterial small subunit ribosomal RNA", at positions 28 to 507 of the family's 1533-position model. The record is from RNAcentral.